Molecule: ribosomal RNA, 403 nt
Filed under: uncultured bacterium
Lineage: Bacteria
Description: partial 16S ribosomal RNA
Rfam family: Bacterial small subunit ribosomal RNA
Source: RNAcentral
AUUGAACGCUGGCGGCAGGCCUAACACAUGCAAGUCGAGCGAGCGGCGGACGGGUGAGUAAUGUAUGGGGACUGCCCGAUAGAGGGGGAUAACUACUGGAAACGGUGGCUAAUACCGCAUAAUAUCGUAUAACCCAUAUGUGAUUAGCUAAUAGCUGGGGUAAAGGCUAAACUCGGCGACGAUCUCUAGCUGGUCUUAGAGGAUGAUCAGCCACACGGUGACUGAGACACGGCCGAGACUCCUACGGAGGCAGCAGUGGUGAAUAUGGCACAAGGGGCGAAAGCCGGAUGCAGCCAUGUCGCGUGUAUGAAGAAGGCCUUAGGGUUGUAAAGUACUUUCAGCGGGGAGGCGUUACCCGCAGAAGAAGCACCGGCUAACUCCGUGCCAGCAGCCGCGGUAAUAC